UAGACGUUCGAGCAGUUUGAGUUCGGGCAAAAUACGCACAGCCCUGUUCCAUUUGAGCUUGCCUAUAGAGGGUGCUCAAUGCAACAGGAUGGGCAAACUUAAAAGCAUAGAACAUAAUUUAUGUAAAAAGGGACUAUAAAAGAGGCGGAAGGCGUAGAAUCUUUCUCUUUUGUAAAACCAGUGAUCCUUGAAAGAAGUAGUAGUGCGCGCGUGUGUAAAUAAUAGAAGGAUCUGUUAGUCGUUAAAAAUAGUUGUUGUAAUGGUAAAGUAGUACGGUUUUGUGUAGAUUAAAAGCUAUUAGUACGUUUAAAUCCUGUAAAACAACACAAGAACAGAAAAACGACAGUAACAAACAAAUUAAAAGUCACCGAGAAAAAGGUGAAUAUCAUGUGCUGUGAACAGAUCAGAAAGUUUAGAGGUUAGGAAGUGACGUCGCAGGGUGCUAAUCCGUUGUGUCCAGGUCCAUGCCAAAGAAACCUUUUUCUUUUGUACCUUUUUUCAAAGUUCUCGUCAGUGGAGUGGUGGAGGCUUCCGGAGAGGAAAGACUAGUGUUCGUGCGCCGGCCGUAUAGAUCCCGACGAUUUGGACGCCGGAGACUUUCGGUCCAAAUCCGUGCCGCCAUUGCUUUUGAGCACGCGGGAUUGCCGUUUGCCGAACGUAGGCCGCCAUCUUCAAGUCAUAUUCCCAAGCAAGCACUCGUUUCACCAGGUAAUCAACAACCGAACCACGACGAACGCCAAGCCGGCCAGAUAACGCUUGAUCGGCCACAUCUUCAACAGAAAACACCAAACCAAGCGCAAGUACCCUUGAAUGUGACGUCACAAAUAAAUUGUUAAUUAUAUUAGCCUCAGGUGUAGCAUUCUGCAACGGGGUACGGGGUGGAAUCGAACCUGGGGACCCUGAACGUUCGGGGAAACUGUAGGAACAUCGCCCAAGACCGACGAUUAUGGAGCUCUACGAUACGCCAGGCAUAGGUGUAUCGACGCUGUAGCCAACCAGGAAUCCAGGCAUCCAGGUAGGUGAUGCCUGUGUUUUUUUUUUCUUCUUCCUAAACAAUGGAGGGGGAAUCUGCUCAACAGACAUCCUGGGUUGACCAGGAAGUGCUGGGUUAGGGGCCACCUCCAAUGAGGGAGGCAGGGCUGCAUCCCCGACCAGCUAAACCGUUUCCAUUGCCGCCAAGCCCAUCGUCCCUUCGG
Long non-coding RNA from Armigeres subalbatus, 1196 nucleotides. RefSeq lists it as uncharacterized. The record is from RefSeq and is a predicted model, not a curated record. NCBI's taxonomy places the organism in Eukaryota, Metazoa, Arthropoda, Insecta, Diptera, Culicidae. The transcript has 3 exons.